AGAGUUUUAUCCUGGCUCAGGACGAACGCUGGCGGCGUGCCUAACACAUGCAAGUCGAGCGAUGAAAGAGAAGUGGCGGUCUUCGGACCAAAGCAUUUCUGGAUUAGCGGCGGACGGGUGAGUAACACGUGAGCAACCUGCCUAUCACAUCGGGAUAGCCUCGGGGAACUGGGAUUAAUACCGAAUGCAACAUAUUGGUAACCUUAUCGAAAUGUCAAAGAUUUAUCGGUGAUAGAUGGGCUCGCGUCUGAUUAGCUAGUUGGUGAGAUAAAAGCCCACCAAGGCAAUGAUCAGUAGCCGGCCUGAGAGGGUGAUCGGCCACAUUGGGACUGAGACACGGCCCAAACUCCUACGGGAGGCAGCAGUGGGGAAUAUUGCACAAUGGAGGGAACUCUGAUGCAGCGACGCCGCGUGAGCGAAGAAGGAAUUCGUUUCGUAAAGCUCUGUCCUAUGGGAAGAUAAUGACGGUACCAUAGAAGAAAGCCCCGGCUAACUACGUGCCAGCAGCCGCGGUAAUACGUAGGGGGCGAGCGUUGUCCGGAAUUAUUGGGCGUAAAGGGUUCGUAGGCGGUAAUACAUGUCAGAUGUGAAAUCUUGUGGCUUAACCACAUCAAGCAUCUGAAACUGUAUAACUUGAGUGGAGGAGAGGUAAGUGGAAUUCCUAGUGUAGCGGUGGAAUGCGUAAAUAUUAGGAAGAAUACCAGUAGCGAAGGCGACUUACUGGCCUCUAACUGACGCUGAUGAACGAAAGCGUGGGUAGCAAACAGGAAUAAAAACCCUGUUAUUCCCCCCCCGAAAACAAUGAAUUGGCAGGGGGUCGGGGAGUCAAAUCCCCGGGGCCCGAAUUUAAAC
This 852-nucleotide ribosomal RNA is filed under the name uncultured bacterium. RNAcentral describes it as "bacterial SSU rRNA". It matches the Rfam family "Bacterial small subunit ribosomal RNA", at positions 8 to 857 of the family's 1533-position model. The record is from RNAcentral.